AUACGUAGGUGGCAAGCGUUGUCCGGAAUUAUUGGGCGUAAAGCGCGCACAGGCGGUCCUUUAAGUCUGAUGUGAAAGCCCUCGGCUCAACCGAGGAGGGUCAUUGGAAACUGGAGGACUUGAGUGCAGAAGAGGAAAGCGGAAUUCCAAGUGUAGCGGUGAAAUGCGUAGAGAUUUGGAGGAACACCAGUGGCGAAGGCGGCUUUCUGGUCUGUAACUGACGCUGAGGCGCGAAAGCGUGGGGAGCAAACAGGAUUAGAUACCCUGGUAGUCCACGCCGUAAACGAUGAGUGCUAAGUGUUAGGGGGUUUCCGCCCCUUAGUGCUGCAGCUAACGCAUUAAGCACUCCGCCUGGGGAGUACGGUCGCAAGACUGAAACUCAAAGGAAUUGACGGGG
Molecule: ribosomal RNA, 397 nt
Filed under: uncultured bacterium
Lineage: Bacteria
Description: partial 16S ribosomal RNA
Rfam family: Bacterial small subunit ribosomal RNA
Source: RNAcentral